AGUGAACGCUGGCGGUAGGCCUAACACAUGCAAGUCGAACGGCAGCACAGUAAGAGCUUGCUCUUACGGGUGGCGAGUGGCGGACGGGUGAGGAAUACAUCGGAAUCUACUUUUUCGUGGGGGAUAACGUAGGGAAACGUACGCUAAUACCGCAUACGACCUACGGGUGAAAGCAGGGGAUCUUCGGACCUUGCGCGAUUGAAUGAGCCGAUGUCGGAUUAGCUAGUUGGCGGGGGAAAGGCCCACCAAGGCGACGAUCCGUAGCUGGUCUGAGAGGAUGAUCAGCCACACUGGAACUGAGACACGGUCCAGACUCCUACGGGAGGCAGCAGUGGGGAAUAUUGGACAAUGGGCGCAAGCCUGAUCCAGCCAUACCGCGUGGGUGAAGAAGGCCUUCGGGUUGUAAAGCCCUUUUGUUGGGAAAGAAAAGCAGCAGGUUAAUACCCCGCUGUUCUGACGGUACCCAAAGAAUAAGCACCGGCUAACUUCGUG
RNAcentral lists this ribosomal RNA (492 nucleotides) under uncultured bacterium. RNAcentral describes it as "partial 16S ribosomal RNA". It matches the Rfam family "Bacterial small subunit ribosomal RNA", at positions 29 to 507 of the family's 1533-position model. The record is from RNAcentral.